Arabidopsis lyrata subsp. lyrata is the source of this 881-nucleotide long non-coding RNA. RefSeq lists it as uncharacterized. NCBI's taxonomy places the organism in Eukaryota, Viridiplantae, Streptophyta, Magnoliopsida, Brassicales, Brassicaceae. The record is from RefSeq and is a predicted model, not a curated record. The transcript is spliced from 4 exons.
CUUCGACAUUUUUUUUUUUCGUUUCGCGAUAAUCGACGAGAUCAAAAUUGGAAGAGAUUUCGAUCAAAUCGGAAGCAAACAAUGAAAAAUCGGAGGGGUUUAUGUACCAAUAUCAUGAUCUGCAUGAGUAUCAGCAUCUGGGAUUCUCUCCAUCGUCUCUGCCUUAUAAAUUGAACACGGACUAUGAGUUAUUGGUUCCCUGACUCUGCUGAUGUUUCAUAGACUUAGAUGACUUGGGAGGUUUGAUUUGUGAAGCUUAUCGUUGCAAUGGAAUGAUAGCCAUAUAUAUGUGAUCGUGUGUUGCAGAACAAGCUUGGUCUCCGUCGUGAGCAAUGGCUUUCUCAAGGUAAUAACGGCAGUGGCUUUUGCUCUUGAAAAUGUAGAUGAUGAUGAUGGGUGUGUAGAUGAGGUACAUCUCUGCUUUUCGAUUUCAGAUUUCUCAGUUCCCAAUUGAUAUUAGAAAUUACCAUAGAAGAUCUAAUACACUUUGUAGAUGAUUAUAGCUCUUCGUGGUUUCAUCUUCUUGAUGUGCACAUAUAUAGAAUUCAAAUACACUUUGUUUCUGAAAACCAAGUGGCGACUUAUUGUGAUCUUCAAUGUGGUUUUGUUUGUUGUCUUGGUUUGGAAAUGGACUAGGACUCUCUAUUCUUGUCAAACAUAGCAUCUUGUCGGUCUUGUAUAGAAUUGGAGUAGGACUCUCUGUUUUGGUAUAUUUGUACCUUGUCGGUCUUGUAUAGAAAUGGAGCAUUGCAUCUUGUUUCACAUUCUUGCAAUUGGUUCUUUUUUUUUGUCAAUCACUUGCAAUUGGUUCUCUGUUUUGGUUUAUAUCUAUUGUAACAAAACCAUAUAUUGCAUGAUUGUACAUCUUCUUUUUGUUUUAA